Molecule: ribosomal RNA, 774 nt
Filed under: uncultured Neocallimastigales
Lineage: Eukaryota; Fungi; Neocallimastigomycota; Neocallimastigomycetes; Neocallimastigales
Description: partial large subunit ribosomal RNA
Rfam family: Eukaryotic large subunit ribosomal RNA
Source: RNAcentral
UAUCUCUGUAGAGUCUGCAUAUCAAUAAGCGGAGGAAAAGAAACUAACUAGGAUUCCCUCAGUAACGGCGAGUGAAGCGGGAAGAGCUCAAAUUUGAAAUCUUCAAGGUUCUACCUUGACGAAUUGUAGUUUAAAGAAGUGUUUUCUGUUGGAGUUUUGGUAAAAGUUCUUUGGAAUAGGACAUCAUAGAGGGUGAGAAUCCCGUAUUUGACCAUUAUUUCCAGCUUUGUGAUACACUUUCAAAGAGUCGGAUUGUUUGGGAAUGCAGUCCAAAAUGGGUGGUAAAUUUCAUCUAAAGCUAAAUAUUGGCGAGAGACCGAUAGCGAACAAGUACCGUGAGGGAAAGAUGAAAAGAACUUUGAAAAGAGAGUUAAACAGUACGUGAAAUUGUCAAAAGGGAAGCGUUUGACACCAGUGUUGUUUUCUCGAAAAUCAAUUAAAAAAGGCAGGAUUUUGUGUUGUAUUGACUUUAUCAGCUUUCUGCACUCUUUUCUUGUCUUUUUUAAUGCACUUUUCGUUUAACAAGUCAACAUCAAUUUCUUUUGUUGUAAAAGGGUCAUUGGAAGGUGGCUUUCUUUUCGGAGAAAGUGUUUAUAGCCUUUGGCCUCUGCAAUCGGAGAGAUUGAGGUCUGCAGCGUAGAUCCUUCGGGGUUAGAUACAUUUGUGCUAAGUUAUAGCCUUUCAUAGACAACUUGUUGACUAUGAUCAGUCAUGUAGCUUACUCGCUUAUGCUAUUUUACCUACGCUUAGGAUGUUGAAGUCAUCGUAUCGCGC